Molecule: ribosomal RNA, 434 nt
Filed under: uncultured Lachnospiraceae bacterium
Lineage: Bacteria; Bacillati; Bacillota; Clostridia; Lachnospirales; Lachnospiraceae
Description: bacterial SSU rRNA
Rfam family: Bacterial small subunit ribosomal RNA
Source: RNAcentral
ACGGAAGGCAGCAGUGGGGAAUAUUGCACAAUGGGGGAAACCCUGAUGCAGCGACGCCGCGUGAGUGAAGAAGUAUUUCGGUAUGUAAAGCUCUAUCAGCAGGGAAGAAAAUGACGGUACCUGACUAAGAAGCCCCGGCUAACUACGUGCCAGCAGCCGCGGUAAUACGUAGGGGGCAAGCGUUAUCCGGAUUUACUGGGUGUAAAGGGAGCGUAGGCGGCCAGACAAGUCAGAUGUGAAAACCCGGGGCUCAACUCCGGGACUGCAUUUGAAACUGCCAGGCUUGAGUGCAGGAGAGGCAAGUGGAAUUCCUAGUGUAGCGGUGAAAUGCGUAGAUAUUAGGAAGAACACCAGUGGCGAAGGCGACUUGCUGGACUGAGACUGACGCUGAGGCUCGAAAGCGUGGGGAGCAAACAGGAUUAGAUACCCUGGUA